UCAGUCGACUCCUACGGGGAGGCAGCAGUGGGGAAUAGUUGCACAAUGGGCGCAAGCCUGAUGCAGCCAUGCCGCGUGUAUGAAGAAGGCCUUCGGGUUGUAAAGUACUUUCAGUCGUGAGGAAGGCGGCGUCGUUAAUAGCGGCGUUGUUUGACGUUAGCGACAGAAGAAGCACCGGCUAACUCCGUGCCAGCAGCCGCGGUAAUACGGAGGGUGCGAGCGUUAAUCGGAAUUACUGGGCGUAAAGCGCAUGCAGGUGGUUUGUUAAGUCAGAUGUGAAAGCCCGGGGCGUCAACCUCGGAAUUGCAUUUGUAAACUAGGCAGACUAGAGUACUGUAGAGGGGGGUAGGAAUUUCAGGUGUAGCGGUGAAAUGCGUAGAGAUCUGAAGGAAUACCGGUGGCGAAGGCGGCCCCCUGGACAGAUACUGACACUCAGAUGCGAAAGCGUGGGGAGCAAACAGGAUUAGAUACCCUGGUAG
Molecule: ribosomal RNA, 479 nt
Filed under: uncultured bacterium
Lineage: Bacteria
Description: bacterial SSU rRNA
Rfam family: Bacterial small subunit ribosomal RNA
Source: RNAcentral